AUGUCUGAUCCUCACUCCCCGAGCCCUCCUUUGUCUACUGUAUACUGCCACACUCUCUGCCUCCCUCAUCAUCCGCUCCACAGUGGUCAUCGCCUUAGGAUCUCCCUGGUCAAUGAUACCUAUGUCCAAAGUCUCCCGCCCAAUCAUCUGUAUCUGGUGUCAGAUAGGCAACAGAUCAAUGGCAUAGUCAUCCUCGGCCUGCUAGUUCUCUAA
This is a non-coding RNA of Vicia faba (fava bean), 213 nucleotides long. The record is from the annotation of a GenBank genome assembly. NCBI's taxonomy places the organism in Eukaryota, Viridiplantae, Streptophyta, Magnoliopsida, Fabales, Fabaceae.